CCUACGGGUGGCAGCAGUGAGGAAUAUUGGUCAAUGGCCGGAAGGCUGAACCAGCCAUGCCGCGUGAAUGUCAGUGCCCUAUGGGCGUUAAACUUCUUUUGUGCGGGAGCAAUAAUGGUCACGUGUGGCCAGACGAGAGUACCGUACGAAUAAGCAUCGGCUAACUCCGUGCCAGCAGCCGCGGUAAUACGGGGGAUGCAAGCGUUAUCCGGAUUUAUUGGGUUUAAAGGGUGCGUAGGCUGUGAGGUAAGUCAGCGGUGAAAUGCCCCCGCUCAACGGGGUGAAGUGCCAUUGAUACUGGCUGGCUGGAAUGCGGAUGACGUGGGAGGAAUGUGUGGUGUAGCGGUGAAAUGCAUAGAUAUCACACAGAACACCGAUUGCGAAGGCAUCUCACGAAUCCGCGAUUGACGCUGAUGCACGAAAGCGUGGGUAUCAAACAGGAUUAGAUACCCGUGUAGUC
Molecule: ribosomal RNA, 460 nt
Filed under: uncultured bacterium
Lineage: Bacteria
Description: partial 16S ribosomal RNA
Rfam family: Bacterial small subunit ribosomal RNA
Source: RNAcentral